RNAcentral lists this ribosomal RNA (722 nucleotides) under Streptomyces sp. FXJ1.264. RNAcentral describes it as "bacterial SSU rRNA". It matches the Rfam family "Bacterial small subunit ribosomal RNA", at positions 56 to 794 of the family's 1533-position model. Lineage: Bacteria; Bacillati; Actinomycetota; Actinomycetes; Kitasatosporales; Streptomycetaceae. The record is from RNAcentral.
UGCAGUCGAACGAUGAAGCCGCUUCGGUGGUGGAUUAGUGGCGAACGGGUGAGUAACACGUGGGCAAUCUGCCCUGCACUCUGGGACAAGCCCUGGAAACGGGGUCUAAUACCGGAUAUGACCUGGUGAGGCAUCUUACCGGGUGGAAAGCUCCGGCGGUGCAGGAUGAGCCCGCGGCCUAUCAGCUUGUUGGUGGGGUGAUGGCCUACCAAGGCGACGACGGGUAGCCGGCCUGAGAGGGCGACCGGCCACACUGGGACUGAGACACGGCCCAGACUCCUACGGGAGGCAGCAGUGGGGAAUAUUGCACAAUGGGCGCAAGCCUGAUGCAGCGACGCCGCGUGAGGGAUGACGGCCUUCGGGUUGUAAACCUCUUUCAGCAGGGAAGAAGCGCAAGUGACGGUACCUGCAGAAGAAGCGCCGGCUAACUACGUGCCAGCAGCCGCGGUAAUACGUAGGGCGCGAGCGUUGUCCGGAAUUAUUGGGCGUAAAGAGCUCGUAGGCGGCUUGUCGCGUCGGAUGUGAAAGCCCGGGGCUUAACCCCGGGUCUGCAUUCGAUACGGGCAGGCUAGAGUUCGGUAGGGGAGAUCGGAAUUCCUGGUGUAGCGGUGAAAUGCGCAGAUAUCAGGAGGAACACCGGUGGCGAAGGCGGAUCUCUGGGCCGAUACUGACGCUGAGGAGCGAAAGCGUGGGGAGCGAACAGGAUUAGAUACCCUGGUAGU